CUUGUAGCUGGGCCAGCCUGGGGCUUGGUUCUAUGUCCCUGCGGAAGUUUAUACGAGACCUAGUUUCCAGGGAAGAACUCACUGAUGCCGCGAGGGAGAUGGGGUACUGGAUGAUGGUCUUCAGCCUUAAGGCUAUGUUUCCAGUGUUCUCUGGCUGUUUCCAAGAGCUACAAGAAAAGAAUAAAUCUCUGGAGUUGGUGUCCUUUGAGGAGGUAGCUGUGCACUUCACCUGGGAGGAGUGGCAGGACCUGGAUGAUGCUCAGAGGACCCUGUACAGGGACGUGAUGCUGGAGACCUACAGCAGCCUGGUAUCAUUGGGGCAUUACAUUACCAAACCUGAGAUGAUCUUCAAGCUAGAGCAAGGAGCAGAGCCAUGGAUAGUAGAAGAAACCCCAAACCUGAGACUUUCAGGCUAAGCCUCCCUCCUUUUGGUAGAGGCUUUUUUAUACCAUUUGGGAACUGGUUUGGAUAAGCUACCUUAAUGAAGGACGACACAUCCCUCCAGAGAUGAUAAAAGACUUUUUGUCUUUUCUGAUUUAAGAAAACUUUAUCUCGUAAGCUACCUAUAGUUUACAAAAAUUCAGUAAAGUAUAAUUUUUUGAACAAAGAUGGAAGCAUUCAUUUUGUCUCCCUACUUGAUUCCUCCAAAAUUUGGAAACCAUUUGGUAUACAGAAAGCAUAGCACUGGCUUCUGCUUCUGGGGAAGCCUCUGACAACUGACAAGGUGAAAAAUAAAUCUGGUGCUUGCACAUCACAUGGUAAGUGUGAGGGCAGGGGGGAGGUGCUACACACACUUGUAGAUAACCAACUCUCAUGAAAGCUAACUAUUGUGGGAAUGGCACCAAAGGAAAUGAUGCCAAACUGUUCUUGGAAAUCCUGCUGUCAUGAUUCAAUCACCUCCCCACUAGGCCCACUUCCAACAUUGAGGAUUACAUUUCAAUAUAAGAUUUUUGUGGGAACACACACCCAAACUAUAUCAUUUUGCCCCUGGCCAUUGCAAAUCUCAUAUCCUUCUCAUAUUUCAAAAUACAAUCAUGACUUUCCAAUAAUCCCCAAAGUCUUAACUCAUUUCAGCCUUAACUGAAAAGUCAAAAGUCUCAUCUAAGACAAAGCUAGUUCCUUCCUCCUAUAAGCCUGUAAAAUAGAAAACAAGUUAGGCACUUCCAAGAUACAAAUGGGGCAGUGGCAUUGGGUAAAUAAUCCUAUUCUAAAAGGAAGAAAUCAGCCAAAAGAAAUGGACCACAGGACCCAUGAAAGUCUGAAACCCAGAAUGGCAGUUACUGAAUUGUAAGGCUCCAAAAUAAUUAUUUUUCACUCUGUGUCCCAUUUUCAGGGCACACUAAUGCCUUGGGAAGGUUCUACCUUGUGCCUUUGCAUGGUUCAGCCCCCACAGCUGCUCUCAUGGGCUGGCAUUGUGUACCUCUGGCUGGUAUUGUGUGCCUCUGGCUUUUCCAGGUGCAGGGUGCAAGCUGUAGCUAGAUCUACCAUUAUGGGGUCUGGAGGACAGUGAUCUUCUCCUCGCAGAUCUCCUAGGCCAUGCCCCAGUGGGGAGCCUGCCUAGGGACUGUCACCCCACAUUUCUUUUCUCCAUUGUUUUAGUAGAGGUUCUCCAUGAGGGCUCCACCCCUGCAGAAUGCUUCUGCCUGCACACCCUGGCUUUUUCGUACAUCCUUUGAAAUAAAGGUGGAGACUCCCAAGUCUCAACUCUUGCAUUUUGUACACCCACAGGCCUAACACCACAUGGAAGCUACCAAGGCUAUGGCUUGCACCCCCUGAAGCAGUGACUGGAGUUGUAACUGAGUCAAUUUGACCUACACCUGGAGCUGAAGCAGUGGCCAGGAUGCAGGGAGCCAUGUUCCAAAUCUACCCAAGGCAGCAUGUCCUGGGCCUGAUCCCAGAAACUAUUCUCUUCUUUUAGGCCUCAGGGCCUAUGAUGGGGGACUGCCUUUUAGAUUUCUAAAGUGCCUUCAAUUCCUCUUUCCCAUUGUCUUGGCUAUCAACACUUGCUUUUUUUUUUAGGUUAUACAAAUAUCUCUAACAAGUAGUUGCUCCAUAGCCUGCUUGAGUUCCUCUCUUAUAAAAGCUUUUUAUUUUUCAGCCACAUGACUAGGCUGCAAAGUUUUCAAGCUUUUACACUAUGCUUCCCUUGUAAGCUUAAGUUACAACCUUUUUUUUUUUUUUUUGCUAGAACAUGUGAGCAUAGGUUGUUAGAAGCAGCCAGGCCACAUCUCAAAUGCUUUGCUGUUUAGACAUUUUUCCAACAGAAACCCUAAAUCAUCAAUUUCAAAUUCAAACUCUUAUAUAUCCCUAGGGCAUGACAGAAAUUCAGCCAACCACUUUGCUAAGACAACAUGCGUGACCUUUGUUUUGGUCCUAAUUAGUUUCUAAUUUUCAUCUGAGACCUCCUCAGCCCAGCCUUCACUGUCCAGAUCACUAUCAGCAUUUUGGUCACAGCCAUUCAACCAGUCUCUAAGAAAAUCUCAACUUUCUCUCAUUUUUCUGUCUUCUUCUGAAUCCUACAAACUCUUCCAACCUCUGCCUAUUUACCCAAUUACAAAGCUGAUUCCACAUUUUCAGGUAUUCUUAUAACAAUUUUCCACUCCUUGGUGCCAAUUUUAUGUAUUAAGCUAUUUUUGCAUCACUAUAAGAGUGGGACUGGAUAAUUUAUUUUUAAAAAAGGAGGUUUAAGUGGCUCCUGGUUCUACAGGCUGUAGAGAAGACAUAGCACUGGCAUAUGCUUCUGGGGUGGCCUGUGGAAGUUUACAGUCAUGGCAGAAGUUGAAGCAGAAUCUUGCACAUCACACAGCAAAAAGCAGGAGUGAAAAACAGAGGUGCAAGUUGUUACACACUUUUAAAUAACCAGAUCUUAUAGGAACUCACUUACUAUUAUGAGGAUAGUACCAAAUGGGAUGGUGCUAAGCCAUUUAUGAGUAAUCCACCCCGAUGAUUAAAUCACCUUUCACCAGGCCCACCUCCAACAUUGAGAAUUACAUUUAAAUAUGAGAUUUGGGAGGGGACACAUAUUCAAACCUUAUCAGAGGAGUCUUUAUGUUUUUGCCAAUAUAAGAUUAUAUCAUUGGUAAAAAAAAAAAGAUAAUUUGACUUCUUUUCCAAUUGGGAUGCCUUUUAUUGCUUUCUCUUGUCUGAUUGCUCCAGAUAGGACUUUCAGAAUUAUGUUGAAUAACAGUGGUAAAAGUGGACAUUCUUGUCAUCUUCCAGAUUUUAGAGGAAAGGAUUUUAGUUUUUCCCCACUUAGUAUGAUACUAGCUGUUGGUCUGUCAUAUAUGACUUUUAUUAUGUUGAGGUAUGUUCAUUCCAUACCCAGUUUUCAAAGGGUUUUUUAUUAUUAAAGAAUAUUAAAUUUUAUCAAAUUUUUUUAGUAUAAUUGAAAUGAUUAUAUGGAUUUUGUCCUUGUUUUUUUUUUUUUUUUUUUUUUUUUGAGAUGAAGUCUCCCUCUGUCACCCAGGUUGGAGUGCAAUGGUGUGAUCUCAGCUCACUGCAACCUCUGUCUCCUGGGUUCAAGUGAUUCUCCUCCUUCAGCCUCCCGAGUAGCUGGGAUUACAGGCACCCACCACCGUGACUGGUUAAUUUUUGUAUUUUUAGUAGAGACAGGGCUUUGCCAUGUUGGCCAUACUGGUUUAGAACUCCUGAACUCAGAUGAUCUGCCCACCUCGGCUUCCCAAAGUGCUGGAAUUACAGGCGUGAGCCAUUGUGCCUGGUCCCUUCAUUCUGUUUAUGUGAUGUAUCACAUUGAUUGAUUUGCAUGUUGAACCAUCCUUGCAUCCCUGGGAUAAAUCCCACUUGGUCAUUAUGAAUUACCUGUUUGUGUGUUGUUUAAUUCAGUUUGCUAGGUUUUUUGCAAAUUUUUGCAUCAAUAUUCUCAGAUAUGGGCCUGUAGUUUGCUUUUUUAAUGUGUCUCUGUCUGGUUUUGAUAUCAGGGUAAUACUAGCCUCAAAGAAUGAGUUUGGAAAUGUUCUUUCCUUUUCUAUUUUUCAGUCUGGUCCUACAGACUUUUUUAAUUAAGGCUUUAAUUUUGUUAAUUGUUAUUGGUCUGUUCAGGUUUUAGAUUUUUUCCUAGUUCAAUCUUGGUAAGUUGUGUUUGUCUAAGAAUUAAUUUCCUGUAGGUUUUCUAAUUUGUUGGCACACAAUUGCUGAUAGUAACCACUAAUGAUCCUUUGAUUUUCUGAAGCAUUUCUUGUAAUGUCUCCUUUUUCACCUCUGAUUUUACUAAUUUGUAUCUUCUCUGUUUUUCAGUUAGCCUGUCUAAAUAUUGGUCAAUUGUUUUACUUUUCAAAAAAUCAACUUUUUGUUUAUUAGUCUUUUGCAUUGUUUUCUUCAUUUUAACUUUAUUUACUUCCGCUCUAAUCUUUAUUAUUUCUUCUAAUUUUGGAUUUGGCUUGGCCUUUUUCUUCUAAUUAAUUAAGAUGUAUUGUUAGGUUAUUUAUUUGAAGCUUUUCUGUUUUUUAUGUUGGCACUUACAGUUAUAAAUUUUCCUUUUAUAAUAGUACCUCUUUUACUAUAUUCCAUAGGUUUUGCUAUGCUGUUUCCAUUAUCAUUUGUUUCAAGAAAUUUUUCUAUUUUCUUCUUAACUUUUUUAUCGACCUACUAAUCAUUCAGGAGCAUAUUGUUUAAUAUCCUUGUGUUUGUAUAGUUUCUGAAAUUCCUUUUUUAAUUGAUUUAUAAUUUCAUUCCCUGUAGUCAGAGAAAAUGCUCAAUAUUACUUCAAUUUUUUGGAAUGUCUUUAGACUUGUUACUUAACAUAUGGUCUAUCCUUGAGAAUAACCCAUGUGCUGAGGAGAAAAAUGUAUAUUCUGCAGCUGUUGGAUGAAAUUUUCUGUAAAUAUCUAGUAGGUUCAUUUGUUCUGUAGUGCAGAUUAAGUCUGAUGUUUCUUUGUUGAUUUUCUAUUUGGAAGGUCUAUCCAAUGACUAAAGUAGGGUGUUGAAGUGUCCAGCCAUUAUUGUAUUGAGGUCUCUUUCUUUAGUUCUUAUAAUAUUUGGUUUAUUUAUCUAGGUGCUUUAGUGUUGGGUGCAUAUAUAUGUUCAAUUAUUAUAUCCUCUUGAAUUGAUCUCUUUAUUAUUAUAUAAUGACCUUUUUAAUCUCUUCCUACAGUCUUUUGUUGAAAUCUAUGUUUGUCUGGUAUAAGUAUAGCUAUUUCUGCUCUUUUUUGGUUUCUGUUGGCAUGUAAUACCUUUUUCCAUCCUUUUAUUUUCAGUCUAAAUAUAUCUUUAUAGGUAAAGUAUGUUUUUUGUAGGUCACAGAUUAUUGUCCUGCUUCUCUAUCCGUUCAUCCACUAUUUUUCUUUUGACUGGAAUAUUUAGUUCAUUUACAUUCAGUGUUAUUAUUGAUAAGCACUUACUCCUGCCAUUUUGUUAUUUGUUUUCUGAUUGAUUUUUGUCCUCCCUUCUUUCCUUUCUUCCUGUCUUCCUUUUAGUGAAGGUGAUUUCUCUUGUAUUAUAAUCUAAUUUCUUGCUUUUUACUUUUUGUACGUCUGUGGUACACUUUUUGAUUUGAAAUUACCAUGAGGCUUGAAAACAAUAUAAUACAUGAUUUUAGACUGUGGACAAUUUAACACUGAUUGCAUCAACAAAGAAACAAGCAAAACAACUAAUAAAAACUAUACUUUAUUGCCA
Homo sapiens (human) is the source of this 5631-nucleotide RNA transcript. It is a transcript of the gene named zinc finger protein 717, with no coding region annotated. The transcript is spliced from 8 exons. NCBI's taxonomy places the organism in Eukaryota, Metazoa, Chordata, Mammalia, Primates, Hominidae. The record is from RefSeq and is marked reviewed.